UGGGGAAUUUUGGACAAUGGGGGCAACCCUGAUCCAGCAAUGCCGCGUGAGUGAAGAAGGCCUUCGGGUUGUAAAGCUCUUUUGUCAGGGAAGAAACGGUUUCGGCUAAUAUCCGGAGCUAAUGACGGUACCUGAAGAAUAAGCACCGGCUAACUACGUGCCAGCAGCCGCGGUAAUACGUAGGGUGCAAGCGUUAAUCGGAAUUACUGGGCGUAAAGCGUGCGCAGGCGGUUUUGUAAGUCUGUUGUGAAAUCCCCGGGCUUAACCUGGGAAUGGCAAUGGAGACUGCAAGGCUAGAGUUUGGCAGAGGGGGGUAGAAUUCCACGUGUAGCAGUGAAAUGCGUAGAGAUGUGGAGGAACACCGAUGGCGAAGGCAGCCCCCUGGGUCAAGACUGACGCUCAUGCACGAAAGCGUGGGGAGCAAACA
Molecule: ribosomal RNA, 427 nt
Filed under: uncultured Massilia sp.
Lineage: Bacteria; Pseudomonadati; Pseudomonadota; Betaproteobacteria; Burkholderiales; Oxalobacteraceae
Description: bacterial SSU rRNA
Rfam family: Bacterial small subunit ribosomal RNA
Source: RNAcentral